Molecule: long non-coding RNA, 203 nt
Filed under: Lathyrus oleraceus (garden pea)
Lineage: Eukaryota; Viridiplantae; Streptophyta; Magnoliopsida; Fabales; Fabaceae
Description: Pisum sativum (pea) long non-coding RNA (PSAT_LNC023218)
Source: RNAcentral
UCUUCUGGUAAGUUUGUUUUUCUCCCUCCUUCUGUACAAAUUAAGCCUAUUGCUUCCUCUAUCCCUCAACCAACACCCAUAUACACCAACUCAGAAACUCCUCCCUCAACCACCAGACCAUCUAAACAACCCUCUCAAAAAUUUAACCUAGCCACCACCUCUCUACCCCUUUCGGAAGCAGAAAUGUUAAACGAAACAACCUC